GAGUGGAGUGCUCUCCAUAUGAGGAGCUUCUGCUAAGAGCCUGCUGGGGCUUUGAUCAAGUAGGGAGCUUGAGAGGUGGUUGGUGGCUUCACUGGAGCUAGGGCAGAGACUAUGGCUCUGCCCAGAGCUAACUGAGGUAGGCCUGCAGAGAAGGAAGUGAGUAACCCCCACUUUUGUUUGGGAAAGUACUUGCAAAGGACGGGGGUCUAGCAGAGAGCCUGAGUCUGAGGAGAGGCAGAGUGAUCUUCCCAUAGAACCAGGACCCAUUGCUGACCUUUGGUGGGGCCAACUCCAAUCUUCAGAAGGUUGUGCAGCUUGUUGCCUUGGCUGGACUGAUGCACAGAACCAACAGAGUGUUGUCUCCAGCAGCUCAUCUUCAAGCACGCCCAUGCAAGCAAGUGUCUAGGAUUCUGAAAUCCAGAGGAGUGCACCCUCCGAGAACUUGCUGGAAGGAACAUAAAGAUGAGACUUAAGGAAAAGCUUCCUGACAAUGAUUGCCAAAUAAUGGGGUGAAAACCCACAGGUGGAAAUCUGAAUAUUCUUGAUUCUAAUUACCUGAUUUGUAGGCCCCAGUCAGGUUGCUAGAAGCACAAGUGCUCAUAUUUACCACAGUUCACCUUGGUGGGCCAAUAAGAAAGAGUGAUGAUAAUUUUAGAAGAGGAAAACAUUUUUGUCAGAAAGUAGCAGCCCAUUUCCACCUGUGUGGCAUGAUGCUGUGUACAAAGCACUACAUAGGUAUAGUGCAAGCUUUCCCAUACCUCUCUGCUCAUGUAUUCAUAACCAGAACCAGGAGGACCAUCUGUAAAGGAUGAGAAGAUGCAAAAAAGCUCACUUUCACGGCUGUGCAGAAGUGAUCCCUGGUGUAGAAGCAAUCCCAACAACCAUACUGUUCGUUUGACAGCUGGACCCAAAUCCGAGUUUUCAUAUUGAAUAAAAACAGCAACAACUCACCUACAAUUCCCUUGAUCACCUAUAGGACAUGCAUGGAUCAGUAUUCAAUUGAAAAGAUUGUUUUCUAUGUACACCUAUGGCCCAGAUCAGUGUGCAUUAUCUGCGUAUGUAUAACCUUUCUUUAACUUGAACAAGAAGAUCCACACAAAUGAUAAAUAACUUUUGGCUUAGUCAAUUCACUUAUUUAUGUUCUUGUAUCUGAUUGUUCUCCUCUGUCAGUUGUUUGGAAUGAAGGAAAUGGGAUGACUUGUUGGCACGUUUGCAUUAAUAUUAUUGGCUACACUAGAGGCUCUGGUGGGUGAUGGUGCCUUUAGUCCCUUGAAGGAGGGGAGGGGGAAAUUAAAGACUUGAUUCUCUUUUACACUAAGGCCCCAUUACACCGCCAGAGUGGCAAAUUUGACAACUAUGUUAUUAGAGGUGGGUAUAUAUUGGAAAGAACAUCCACCCAUAAUUAUUAAAAUUGGAAAGGAAGUUUCGAUUUGACUAUGUUUAUGAGCCUUUCCUGUUACCUUUUGGCAAAUUUUCCAGGGCACAAGCUCUGCUAACACAAACACAAUGAAAAGCGAAUCUUGCAUUCAAAGGCAUGAAUUUGUCAAAAGUGCAUUUUGAAUGAUAUAUGUGAUUGUGAUAGUCUGAUUCACAAUUUGCAUUUCAU
Mauremys mutica (yellowpond turtle) is the source of this 1606-nucleotide long non-coding RNA. RefSeq lists it as uncharacterized. NCBI's taxonomy places the organism in Eukaryota, Metazoa, Chordata, Testudines, Geoemydidae. The record is from RefSeq and is a predicted model, not a curated record. The transcript is spliced from 5 exons.